UGGGAGUCAGAGAGAGGCUGGUUAUGAAGAGCCACUUUGCAUUUUCAAGGGAAAUUGCUGUUCUUGAAGUAAUACAGUGGAGCAAAAAGCCUUUUAGGUGAUAAGGAAGAGAGAAACAUGAGUCAAGUCAACAAGUUACUAUGCAGUGUUAGAACUAAAAGGCAAGAUGUGCCCUGAUUUAGUCUCUUCCAACCAGAUGAGUCUCUUUGGGUCUGUCAAUACGAAAGAGAAGUUCUGCAGG
Long non-coding RNA from Gavialis gangeticus (Gharial), 241 nucleotides. RefSeq lists it as uncharacterized. The record is from RefSeq and is a predicted model, not a curated record. Lineage: Eukaryota; Metazoa; Chordata; Crocodylia; Gavialidae. The transcript has 2 exons.